RNAcentral lists this ribosomal RNA (301 nucleotides) under uncultured bacterium. RNAcentral describes it as "partial 16S ribosomal RNA". It matches the Rfam family "Bacterial small subunit ribosomal RNA", at positions 509 to 809 of the family's 1533-position model. The record is from RNAcentral.
CAGUAGCCGCGGGAAUACGUAGGGUGCGAGCGUUAAUCGGAAUUACUGGGCGUAAAGCGUGCGCAGGCGGUUAUAUAAGACAGAUGUGAAAUCCCCGGGCUCAACCUGGGACCUGCAUUUGUGACUGUAUAGCUAGAGUACGGUAGAGGGGGAUGGAAUUCCGCGUGUAGCAGUGAAAUGCGUAGAUAUGCGGAGGAACACCGAUGGCGAAGGCAAUCCCCUGGACCUGUACUGACGCUCAUGCUCGAAAGCGUGGGGAGCAAACAGGAUUAGAGACCCGCGUAGUCCCUGUCUCUUAUCC